RNAcentral lists this unclassified non-coding RNA (380 nucleotides) under uncultured Rickettsiales bacterium. RNAcentral's name for it is "contains 16S-23S intergenic spacer region". The record is from RNAcentral. Lineage: Bacteria; Pseudomonadati; Pseudomonadota; Alphaproteobacteria; Rickettsiales.
UCCGGCUUAUCACCGGCAGUUUCCUCAGAGUGCCCACCAUAACGUGCUGGCAACAGAGGACGAGGGUUGCGCUCGUUGCGGGACUUAACCCAACAUCUCACGACACGAGCUGACGACAGCCAUGCAGCACCUGUGCAUCUCCCAGCCGAACUGAAGGAACUCCUUUCAGAGUCCCAUAGAGAGCAUGUCAAACCCUGGUAAGGUUCUUCGCGUUGCCUCGAAUUAAACCACAUGUUCCACCGCUUGUGCGGGUCCCCGUCAAUUUCUUUGAGUUUUAAUCUUGCGACCGUACUCCCCAGGCGGGGUGCUUAACGCGUUAACUACGCCACAGAAAGGUAACCUUCCUACGGCUAGCACCCAUCGUUUACGGCGUGGACUAC